This 497-nucleotide ribosomal RNA is filed under the name uncultured bacterium. RNAcentral's name for it is "partial 16S ribosomal RNA". It matches the Rfam family "Bacterial small subunit ribosomal RNA", at positions 28 to 507 of the family's 1533-position model. The record is from RNAcentral.
GAUGAACGCUGGCGGCGUGCCUAAUACAUGCAAGUCGAGCGAACAGACGAGGAGCUUGCUCCUCUGACGUUAGCGGCGGACGGGUGAGUAACACGUGGAUAACCUACCUAUAAGACUGGGAUAACUUCGGGAAACCGGAGCUAAUACCGGAUGAUAUAUUGAACCGCAUGGUUCAAUAGUGAAAGACGGUUUUGCUGUCACUUAUAGAUGGAUCCGCGCCGCAUUAGCUAGUUGGUAAGGUAACGGCUUACCAAGGCAAUGAUGCGUAGCCGACCUGAGAGGGUGAUCGGCCACACUGGAACUGAGACACGGUCCAGACUCCUACGGGAGGCAGCAGUAGGGAAUCUUCCGCAAUGGGCGAAAGCCUGACGGAGCAACGCCGCGUGAGUGAUGAAGGUCUUCGGAUCGUAAAACUCUGUUAUUAGGGAAGAACAAAUGUGUAAGUAACUAUGCACGUCUUGACGGUACCUAAUCAGAAAGCCACGGCUAACUACGUG